Molecule: transfer RNA, 89 nt
Filed under: Fusobacterium naviforme
Lineage: Bacteria; Fusobacteriati; Fusobacteriota; Fusobacteriia; Fusobacteriales; Fusobacteriaceae
Description: tRNA-Ser
Rfam family: tRNA
About the family: Transfer RNA (tRNA) molecules are approximately 80 nucleotides in length. Their secondary structure includes four short double-helical elements and three loops (D, anti-codon, and T loops).
Source: RNAcentral
GGAGAGGUAUCGAAGCGGUCAUAACGAGGCGGUCUUGAAAACCGUUUGUCCUACGGGGCGCGUGGGUUCGAAUCCCAUCCUCUCCGCGA